This 119-nucleotide ribosomal RNA is filed under the name Pteropus alecto (black flying fox). The record is from RNAcentral. Lineage: Eukaryota; Metazoa; Chordata; Mammalia; Chiroptera; Pteropodidae.
GUCUACGGCCAUGCCACCCUGAACAAGCCCGAUCCUGUCUGAUCUCAGAAGCUAAGCAAGAUCGGGCCUGGUUAGUACUUGGAUAGGAGACCACCUAGGAAGACCAGUUGCUGUAGGUG